UACGAAGGGGGCAAGCGUUGUUCGGAAUUACUGGGCGUAUAGGGCGCGUAGGCGGCUUAUCAAGUCAGGCGUGAAAUUCCCGGGCUCAACCUGGGGGCUGCGCUUGAUACUGAUGAGCUUGAAUGCGGGAGAGGAUAGUGGAAUUCCCAGUGUAGAGGUGAAAUUCGUAGAUAUUGGGAAGAACACCGGUGGCGAAGGCGGCUAUCUGGCCCGUAAUUGACGCUGAGGCGCGAAAGCGUGGGGAGCAAACAGG
Molecule: ribosomal RNA, 253 nt
Filed under: uncultured bacterium
Lineage: Bacteria
Description: partial 16S ribosomal RNA
Rfam family: Bacterial small subunit ribosomal RNA
Source: RNAcentral